RNAcentral lists this long non-coding RNA (485 nucleotides) under Gossypium raimondii (Peruvian cotton). RNAcentral's name for it is "long non-coding RNA (GRAI_LNC004808)". The record is from RNAcentral. Lineage: Eukaryota; Viridiplantae; Streptophyta; Magnoliopsida; Malvales; Malvaceae.
GCAUAGUAAUAAUAGUAUAUAAUAUUAUAGUAAAAAUAAAAAAAUAUUAGCAAUAUUAAUUAAAUAAGCUAAAAAAUCUAAAAUACAAGAUUAAAGGUUGAAUUGCAAACAAGCAAAAUUUAAAUGCUGAUUUCACAAAAAAAAAUAAAAAUAAAAAGGAAAUAAAAACAAGAAGGGAGCAGAUUCAAAAGCGCGCAAUAAGAGGGGGACCAAUCGAGCAAUUCACCCAGACCUCCAAAACGCAGCGCAGAAAGGGACCGAAUUGAAACGAAAAUUAAAUAUGCGGCCCAAUUUUAAAACAAAUAAAAAGGAUUUAAUUGAUAUGCGUUGCAAAAGGGAGGGGCUAAAUGCGCAAUUAUAUCGUUCAAGGCAAUAACGCGCGGAUCCUCCCGACUGGGUCGGGUCACCGCGCGGGUCUGGCCAUUUAAAACGGCGCCGUUUCAUGUGCUGCAUAAAUGAAACAAAAUUGAAAAAAAGAAAAAAAA